This 1637-nucleotide long non-coding RNA is filed under the name Ananas comosus (pineapple). Its description in RNAcentral is "long non-coding RNA (ACOM_LNC009347)". The record is from RNAcentral. Lineage: Eukaryota; Viridiplantae; Streptophyta; Magnoliopsida; Poales; Bromeliaceae.
UAUAUAUUUUAUACAGUUAUAUUAGGGAUAAUUUUAUACAGCUUAUAAACAUAUCGAAUAGCAGAUAUAUUCAUGAAAAGUUCAAGUUUUUAGAUUUAUCCUUUCAAAAGUCGAGUGAUGUUCAUAUUUGUCUCUAUGUUUUGUUAUUAUUAGCUCACUAUUUAUUUUAUAACGAAAAGUAAGUAAAAUGUCACUUUUGUCAUCACAAUAUGUCCCUUCAAAAAUCACAACUAUUAGAAUCAUGUAGAAUUAUUCUCAUAAAAAAAUUUCUAAUUAUCAUCUCUUCCUGUAUAAAAAUUAAUCCAAUCCACUAUUGUUAUAACUUCUUCUCUACCUCUUCUCUCACUCCCUGUUUUUUUCUUUACCUAUCUAUUACUAAUUCCUCGGCGCUCAACGUGGGCGAAAUAACACCCGUGGUGGAUGAAUGGGGAUAGAUAAACCCUAAUUAUGAGUUCGAAACUAAAUGAGGAUGUUAGGAUUUGGUUAGAUUUGUAGUUAAAUCCUAUUUGGAUAAGAAUUAAUAUUUAAAUCUGUUUGAGAUAAAUUAAGAUUUAAAUAUUAAUUAGAUGAUAAACCUAACUAGAUUAGGAUUAAUAUUUAAAUCUAUUAGAAAUUAAUUAAGAUAGAUUUAGAUAUUAAUUGGAGUAGAAAUCCUAAAUAUAUUAGGAUUGGGGUACGUUUUAGUGGAGCCUUAUAAAUAGCUCUUUGUGGGUUUGCUUUUGAUGUGAAGUACGGGAGAGAGAGAGAGAGAGUCUCUUGGGUUGCCAUACCAGAGAGAGAAAAAGAGAGAGAGAGAGUUAUUUAAUUAUGCUUUGAGUGCACCUAGUGCACGGGUGCAUGUGAAGGAUUGUCUUCUUUAUGGGUUUAUAGAAUACGAGAGAAGGGUAGAAAAGAUUCAGAAAGAGGGCUCGGGUUGUAGCUACUCUGUGCAGAAGAGGAGUCAGGUGUAAUCUUCUCUUAUUUAAUGAAUCUUAUUUUACUCGCAUAUUUUCUGUUUUUUGGUAUUUCUCUCUUUUAUGAUUGUAUCAGCUUUUGCUGAGGAGACGGGUUUAUGGUAAAAACCCGAUUCGACGCUUCCGUUGCGAAAUCCCAACAAUCGAUACCGGAUCCACAGCAGUCGGUAUCGGAGCGGGUUGCGGAUUCACGAGAUCCGGUACCGGGGCGAGUACCGGAUUCCCAACAGAGGAAAAGAUAGAGGAAGAGGAAAAGAAGAGAAAGAAGAAGAACCUAGAGUUUUCAUUAGUAGGGUUUUAAUUGAAUUAGACUUUUGAUUAAGAGAAAAGGUAUCAUAUCUGAGGGAUAAAAAGGUAAAUUUACCUCACUCACUAACCAGGUUAAAUAUUUUAUCUGUAGUUAAUUAUAUUUUUUAAUGGACACUAACAAUAAGAAUAAAUUUGAAAUUAUUAAGACUUUUGAGGGACAAAUAUGAAAACUUGAACUUUGUAGGGAUAAAUGUGUUAUUCGAUAUAUUUACGAUGGUUAGUUAAUUUGCGAAUUAUUCGCGAAUUAUUCGCGAUUUUUUGAAAAAAUGAAUUAAAGAGCUGUUUCCGUAUUUUUCUGAAAAAUUCAGAAAAAAAACGCGAUUUUUUGAGGAAAAAUAAUUAUUCGCGAAUCGUGAAUAAUUCCUUCAAAAAAAA